UGGGGAAUUUUGGACAAUGGGCGAAAGCCUGAUCCAGCAAUGCCACGUGUGUGAAGAAGGCCUUCGGGUUGUAAAGCACUUUUGUCCGGAAAGAAAUCCUUGGCUCUAAUACAGUCGGGGGAUGACGGUACCGGAAGAAUAAGCACCGGCUAACUACGUGCCAGCAGCCGCGGUAAUACGUAGGGUGCAAGCGUUAAUCGGAAUUACUGGGCGUAAAGCGUGCGCAGGCGGUUUGCUAAGACCGAUGUGAAAUCCCCGGGCUCAACCUGGGAACUGCAUUGGUGACUGGCAGGCUAGAGUAUGGCAGAGGGGGGUAGAAUUCCACGUGUAGCAGUGAAAUGCGUAGAGAUGUGGAGGAAUACCGAUGGCGAAGGCAGCCCCCUGGGCCAAUACUGACGCUCAUGCACGAAAGCGUGGGGAGCAAACAGGAUUCAGAUACCCUGGUAGUCCACGCCCUAAACGAUGUCAACUAGUUGUUGGGGAUUCAUUUCCUUAGUAACGUAGCUAACGCGUGAAGUUGACCGCCUGGGGAGUACGGUCGCAAGAUUAAAACUCAAAUGAAUUGACGGGGUCAUAGCUGUUUCCU
This 586-nucleotide ribosomal RNA is filed under the name uncultured bacterium. Its description in RNAcentral is "partial 16S ribosomal RNA". It matches the Rfam family "Bacterial small subunit ribosomal RNA", at positions 355 to 1375 of the family's 1533-position model. The record is from RNAcentral.